RNAcentral lists this ribosomal RNA (468 nucleotides) under uncultured bacterium. RNAcentral describes it as "partial 16S ribosomal RNA". It matches the Rfam family "Bacterial small subunit ribosomal RNA", at positions 28 to 507 of the family's 1533-position model. The record is from RNAcentral.
GACGAACGCUGGCGGCGUGCUUAACACAUGCAAGUCGAACGGAAAGGCCCUGCUUUUGUGGGGUGCUCGAGUGGCGAACGGGUGAGUAACACGUGAGUAACCUGCCCUUGACUUUGGGAUAACUUCAGGAAACUGGGGCUAAUACCGGAUAGGAGCUCCUGCUGCAUGGUGGGGGCUGGAAAGUUUCGGCGGUUUGGGAUGGACUCGCGGCUUAUCAGCUUGUUGGUGGGGUAGUGGCUUACCAAGGCUUUGACGGGUAGCCGGCCUGAGAGGGUGACCGGCCACAUUGGGACUGAGCUACGGCCCAGACUACUACGGGAGGCAGCAGUGGGGAAUAUUGCACAAUGGGCGGAAGCAUGAUGCAGCAACGCCGCGUGCGGGAUGACGGCCUUCGGGUUGUAAACCGCUUUCGCCUGUGACGAAGCGUGAGUGACGGUAAUGGGUAAAGAAGCACCGGCUAACUACGUG